RNAcentral lists this ribosomal RNA (279 nucleotides) under uncultured bacterium. RNAcentral's name for it is "partial 16S ribosomal RNA". It matches the Rfam family "Bacterial small subunit ribosomal RNA", at positions 506 to 784 of the family's 1533-position model. The record is from RNAcentral.
UGCCAGCCGCCGCGGUAAUACGGAGGGUGCGAGCGUUAAUCGGAAUUACUGGGCGUAAAGCGUGCGCAGGCGGCUUUUUAAGACAGGUGUGAAAUCCCCGGGCUUAACCUGGGAAUGGCGCUUGUGACUGGAAGGCUAGAGUAUGGUAGAGGGAAGUGGAAUUUCCGGUGUAGCGGUGAAAUGCGUAGAUAUCGGAAGGAACACCAGUGGCGAAGGCGACUUCCUGGGCCAAUACUGACGCUCAUGUGCGAAAGUGUGGGUAGCGAACGGGAUUAGAUA